GGUUGAUCCUGCCAGUAGUCAUAUGCUUGUCUAAAAGAUUAAGCCAUGCAUGUCUAAGUAAAACAUUUUUACUGUGAAACUGCGAAUGGCUCAUUAAAUCAGUUAUAGUUUAUUUGAUAAUACCUUACUACUUGGAUAUCCGUGGUAAUUCUAGAGCUAAUACAUGCUAAAAACCCCGACUUCUGGAAGGGGUGUAUUUAUUAGAUAAAAAACCAAUCGAGGCAACUCGUCUACUGGUGAAUCAUGAUAACUAUUCGAAUCGCAUGACUUUGUCGGCGAUGGUUCAUUCAAAU
This 293-nucleotide ribosomal RNA is filed under the name uncultured eukaryote. Its description in RNAcentral is "partial 18S ribosomal RNA". It matches the Rfam family "Eukaryotic small subunit ribosomal RNA", at positions 6 to 304 of the family's 1831-position model. The record is from RNAcentral.